AAUCAACGCUGGCGGCGUGCCUCAGACAUGCAAGUCGAACGAUUAAAGCUCUCUUCGGAGAGUGUAUAGAGUGGCGCACGGGUGAGUAACACGUAAGUAAUCUACCUUUGAGUGGGGAAUAACAGUCGGAAACGACUGCUAAUACCGCAUAAUGCAGCGGCAUCGCAAGAUGACAGUUGUUAAAGGAGCAAUCCGCUUAAAGAGGAGCUUGCGGCAGAUUAGCUAGUUGGUAAGGUAAUGGCUUACCAAGGCUACGAUCUGUAUCCGGUCUAAGAGGACGGUCGGACACACUGACACUGAAUAACGGGUCAGACUCCUACGGGAGGCAGCAGUCGGGAAUUUUGGGUCAAUGGGCGAAAGCCUGACCCAGCAACGCCGCGUGAAGGAUGAAAUCCCUCGGGAUGUAAACUUCGCAAGAACGGGAAGAAUAAGUAGGGGACAAGUACCCCUAUGAUGACGGUACCGUUUGUAAGCUCCGGCUAACUCCGUGCCAGCAGCC
RNAcentral lists this ribosomal RNA (499 nucleotides) under uncultured bacterium. RNAcentral describes it as "bacterial SSU rRNA". It matches the Rfam family "Bacterial small subunit ribosomal RNA", at positions 32 to 516 of the family's 1533-position model. The record is from RNAcentral.